RNAcentral lists this ribosomal RNA (396 nucleotides) under uncultured bacterium. RNAcentral describes it as "partial 16S ribosomal RNA". It matches the Rfam family "Bacterial small subunit ribosomal RNA", at positions 523 to 918 of the family's 1533-position model. The record is from RNAcentral.
AUACGUAGGGGGCGAGCGUUGUCCGGAAUGAUUGGGCGUAAAGGGCGCGUAGGCGGCCCGGUAAGUCUGGAGUGAAAGUCCUGUUUUUAAGAUGGGAAUUGCUUUGGAUACUGUCGGGCUUGAGUGCAGGAGAGGUAAGUGGAAUUCCCAGUGUAGCGGUGAAAUGCGUAGAGAUUGGGAGGAACACCAGUGGCGAAGGCGACUUACUGGACUGUAACUGACGCUGAGGCGCGAAAGUGUGGGGAGCAAACAGGAUUAGAUACCCUGGUAGUCCACGCUGUAAACGAUGAUUACUAGGUGUUGGGGACCAAAGGUCCUCGGUGCCGCCGCAAACGCAUUAAGUAAUCCACCUGGGGAGUACGUUCGCAAGAAUGAAACUCAAAUGAAUUGACGGGG